This 364-nucleotide ribosomal RNA is filed under the name uncultured bacterium. RNAcentral's name for it is "partial 16S ribosomal RNA". It matches the Rfam family "Bacterial small subunit ribosomal RNA", at positions 338 to 717 of the family's 1533-position model. The record is from RNAcentral.
CCUACGGGAGGCAGCAGUGGGGAAUAUUGGGCAAUGGGCGCAAGCCUGACCCAGCAACGCCGCGUGAAGGAAGAAGGCUUUCGGGGUGGAAACUUCUUUUGGCAGGGAAGAGAAGAAGACGGUACGUGACGAAUAAGCCAUGGCUACCGCCGUGCCAGCAGCCGCGGUAAUACGGAGGUUGCAAGCGUUGUCCGGAUUUACUGGGUGUAAAGGGCGUGUAGCCGGGUUGACAAGUCAGAUGUGAAAUCCUGCGGCGUACCCGCAGAACGGCCUUUGAAACUGUUGAUCUUGAGUUCUGGACAGGCAGUUGGACUUCCUAUUGUAGCGGUUCAAUGCGUAGAUAUUAGGCGGAACCCCAGUGGCG